UGAGACCUGUAGGUUUAGAGGGAAUGAGACCUGUAGGUUUAGAGGGAAUGAGACCUGUAGGUUUAGAGGGAAUGAGACCUGUAGGUUUAGAGGGAGUGAGACCUGUAGGUUUAGAGGGAGUGAGACCUGUAGGUUUAGAGGGAAUGAGACCUGUAGGUUUAGAGGGAGUGAGACCUGUAGGUUUAGAGGGAGUGAGACCUGUAGGUGUAGAGGGAGUGAGACCUGUAGGUUUAGAGGGAGUGAGACCUGUAGGUUUAGAGGGAGUGAGACCUGUAGGUUUAGAGGGAGUGAGACCUGUAGGUUUAGAGGGAGUGAGACCUGUAGGUUUAGAGGGAGUGAGACCUGUAGGUUUAGAGGGAGUGAGACCUGUAGGUUUAGAGGGAGUGAGACCUGUAGGUUUAGAGGGAGUGAGACCUGUAGGUUUAGAGGGAGUGAGAC
This is a long non-coding RNA of Oncorhynchus keta (chum salmon), 438 nucleotides long. RefSeq lists it as uncharacterized. The record is from RefSeq and is a predicted model, not a curated record. Lineage: Eukaryota; Metazoa; Chordata; Actinopteri; Salmoniformes; Salmonidae. The transcript has 3 exons.